GCUUGGGUGGCUCAGUCGGUUGAGCAUCCGACUUCGGCUCAGGUCAUGAUCUCACAGUUUGUGGGUUCAAGCCCCGCAUCAGGCU
This 85-nucleotide transfer RNA is filed under the name Felis catus (domestic cat). It matches the Rfam family "tRNA". From Rfam's summary of the family: Transfer RNA (tRNA) molecules are approximately 80 nucleotides in length. Their secondary structure includes four short double-helical elements and three loops (D, anti-codon, and T loops). Further hydrogen bonds mediate the characteristic L-shaped molecular structure. tRNAs have two regions of fundamental functional importance: the anti-codon, which is responsible for specific mRNA codon recognition, and the 3' end, to which the tRNAs corresponding amino acid is attached (by aminoacyl-tRNA synthetases). tRNAs cope with the degeneracy of the genetic code in two manners: having more than one tRNA (with a specific anti-codon) for a particular amino acid; and 'wobble' base-pairing, i.e. permitting non-standard base-pairing at the 3rd anti-codon position. The record is from Rfam by way of RNAcentral. Lineage: Eukaryota; Metazoa; Chordata; Mammalia; Carnivora; Felidae.